Molecule: small nuclear RNA, 196 nt
Organism: Gigantopelta aegis
Lineage: Eukaryota; Metazoa; Mollusca; Gastropoda; Neomphalida; Peltospiridae
Product: U2 spliceosomal RNA
Exons: 1
Source: RefSeq, a predicted model, not a curated record
CCGACUUCUCGGCCUUUGGCUAAGAUCAAAAGUGUAGAUCUGUUCUUAUCAGCUUAAUAUGAUACGUCCUCCAUUGGGGGGACAUCGAUAUUUAACAAUGAUUUUUGAAAGGGGGUGAGGUGCACCGGGGCUUGCUCCGCCCUCACCACGGGUUGGGAACCCCGGGAUGAGUGACUUCGGGAAUGGCCCACCACUA